AGGGUUCGAUUCUGGCUCAGGAUGAACGCUGGCGGCGUGCUUAACACAUGCAAGUCGAACGGGAUCCAUCAGGCUUUGCUUGGUGGUGAGAGUGGCGAACGGGUGAGUAAUGCGUGACCGACCUGCCCCAUGCACCGGAAUAGCUCCUGGAAACGGGUGGUAAUGCCGGAUGCUCCAUCACAUCGCAUGGUGUGUUGGGAAAGCCUUUGCGGCAUGGGAUGGGGUCGCGUCCUAUCAGCUUGAUGGCGGGGUAACGGCCCACCAUGGCUUCGACGGGUAGCCGGCCUGAGAGGGCGACCGGCCACAUUGGGACUGAGAUACGGCCCAGACUCCUACGGGAGGCAGCAGUGGGGAAUAUUGCACAAUGGGCGCAAGCCUGAUGCAGCGACGCCGCGUGAGGGAUGGAGGCCUUCGGGUUGUAAACCUCUUUUGUUAGGGAGCAAGGCACUUUGUGUUGAGUGUACCUUUCGAAUAAGCACCGGCUAACUACGUGCCAGCAGCCGCGGUAAUACGUAGGGUGCAAGCGUUAUCCGGAAUUAUUGGGCGUAAAGGGCUCGUAGGCGGUUCGUCGCGUCCGGUGUGAAAGUCCAUCGCUUAACGGUGGAUCCGCGCCGGGUACGGGCGGGCUUGAGUGCGGUAGGGGAGACUGGAAUUCCCGGUGUAACGGUGGAAUGUGUAGAUAUCGGGAAGAACACCAAUGGCGAAGGCAGGUCUCUGGGCCGUUACUGACGCUGAGGAGCGAAAGCGUGGGGAGCGAACAGGAUUAGAUACCCUGGUAGUCCACGCCGUAAACGGUGNNUGCUAAGUGU
This 809-nucleotide ribosomal RNA is filed under the name human gut metagenome. RNAcentral's name for it is "bacterial SSU rRNA". It matches the Rfam family "Bacterial small subunit ribosomal RNA", at positions 8 to 823 of the family's 1533-position model. The record is from RNAcentral.